GUGCUUGCUUCUGCAGCACAUAUACUAAAAUUGGACCGAUAAAGAGAAGAUUAGCAUGGCCCCUGCGCAAGGAUGAUGUGCAAAUUCAUGAAGCAUUCCACAUUUUU
This is a small nuclear RNA of Hyaena hyaena (striped hyena), 107 nucleotides long. NCBI's taxonomy places the organism in Eukaryota, Metazoa, Chordata, Mammalia, Carnivora, Hyaenidae. The record is from RefSeq and is a predicted model, not a curated record.